Long non-coding RNA from Jaculus jaculus (lesser Egyptian jerboa), 1382 nucleotides. RefSeq lists it as uncharacterized. The transcript has 2 exons. The record is from RefSeq and is a predicted model, not a curated record. Lineage: Eukaryota; Metazoa; Chordata; Mammalia; Rodentia; Dipodidae.
CGCGCAGGGGCUGCGGGGCGUUCGGAGGCGCGGGGAAUCUGUGUAAAGGAAACGAGGCACGUUCCUGUUCCUGUGCCACUACUACGAAAAGAAACCAAAAAUAACAGCUGGAUGGUAUUUUCAGCCCACGCCCCCAGAAGCUGGAGUUAUACACAAAUGAGUCAUCUCCAGACUUAAAAAAAAAAAGAAAGAAAAGGCCGAGCGUGGUGACGGCACGCCUUUAACCCCAGCCUUGGGAAGGCUGAAACAGAGUGGCUGUGAGUUCGAGGUCAGCCUGGGAUUACUCAGUGAGUUACAGGUCAUCCUGGGCUAGAGUAUGACCCAACCUCGAAAAAUCAAAAACGCCGAAUGUGGUGGCGCAAGCCUCUAAUCCCAGCACUGGGGAGGCAGAGGAACACAUCUCAAGAUACUCCUCAGCAGUUUCUCAGACUAGCCAUCUCAAAAUACAACAAAGAACUUCAGCAGCAUGUGAGGGUGAGGAAUGUAACUCCAUGGUAGAGCAUUUGCCUGGCAUGCUCAAUUUCCAACCCUGAAAAAGAUAGCAACACCCUGUUGCAGAAAAGAAAAGGGGGGGGAAGCUUUUGUUCUUUUGGGCUUUUUACUAACUUGUUACUGUUUAACCUUCUGGAAUCCAAUAGUUUGUGAUUAAAAGGACAUUUCGGAAUUCCUUUUCUUGUCAAUGGAAUGGGCAAUCAGUUUAAUCACCAACAUUAUUAGCUUUAGGGAUUUAGUGGGGCUUUUUAAAGAUACCUCUAUCAGAUGAAAUGGAAUGAAACUUCUCAUUGUGUAACCCUGUGUUUCACACUGGAUGAAAGAAAACCCCAAGUUGAGUGAUGGUACAUGCCUGUUAGCCCAGCACUCAAGAGGCUGAGACAGUUUUGCCGUAAGUUUGAGGCCAGCCUGGGUUGUAUGGCAAGAUCCUGGCAAAGAAGGAAGAGAGAAAGUGAAGAAAACUUAAAAGUAGAGAAAAAUGCAAACAUAAAAGGCUGGGUUUGGUAGUGUAACCAUCUUGUAGCAAUGAAGAUAUUCCAGACACUUGAUACACUUUGGAUAUCAGACUACUGAAACAAUGGUCCUUAAGGACUUGGAAUUUUCCCCAGGAGUGUCAUGCUGGGAGAAGGAAAAGGAUGAAGCCUAGUGCCAGCCUGAGGAGGGAAGAGAUUUCACAUUGUUCUAACAACUUGUCAACCCACCUUACAGGAGAGAGAAGUGGAAACAUGAUGGGUGGGUCGGCAGCCUGACCAGGACUGCUUUGCCAUACGUAUGUCUUGUACUUAAACCUAUACUUCAUGUCAGCACCCUGAAAGCAGACUUGGAAGGAUCACUAGAUUUCUGUUCCUCUUCCCAAUGUGGGCAUCAAAUAAAUCUCCUUUCCCUAGCGA